This 457-nucleotide ribosomal RNA is filed under the name uncultured Pelotomaculum sp. RNAcentral describes it as "bacterial SSU rRNA". It matches the Rfam family "Bacterial small subunit ribosomal RNA", at positions 925 to 1382 of the family's 1533-position model. The record is from RNAcentral. Lineage: Bacteria; Bacillati; Bacillota; Clostridia; Eubacteriales; Desulfotomaculaceae.
ACAAGCGGUGGAGCAUGUGGUUAAUUCGAAGCAACGCGAAGAACCUUACCAGGUCUUGACAUCCCGAUGCUAUUUCUAGAGAUAGAAAGUUACUUCGGUACAUCGGUGACAGGUGGUGCAUGGUUGUCGCCAGCUCGUGUCGUGAGAUGUUGGGUUAAGUCCCGCAACGAGCGCAACCCCUACGUUUAGUUGCUAACGCGUGAAGGCGAGCACUCUAGACGAACUGCCGUUGACAAAACGGAGGAAGGUGGGGAUGACGUCAAAUCAUCAUGCCCCUUAUGUUCUGGGCUACACACGUGCUACAAUGGCCGGUACAGACGGACGCAAAGCCGCGAGGUGGAGCAAAUCCUAAAAAGCCGGUCUCAGUUCGGAUUGCAGGCUGCAAUUCGCCUGCAUGAAGUCGGAAUCGCUAGUAAUCGCAGGUCAGCAUACUGCGGUGAAUACGUUCCCGGGCCUU